GGAACUAGUUUUCUAUUUCUAACCACUUCAUCCUACUUGAUGAGCAUUCCUUUUUUUAAGUACAAUUUUAUGGGUCAUUGGAGAAUGAUUCGCUGCCUCCCACCCUUAUUUUUUCCCAUUAUCAGAGACUUACUCCUUAGGAACAAAGAGUAAAUGCCAGUGUAGAUGUAGUCACAGCUUUAUGAUGGGCAGCUUCACCUUGCUACCUGGAGAGUUGCCAUCUGAUACAAUGAGUGGAUUUCAGUGCUUCCUCAAAAUAGGCAGAUUGUGUAGGCAGAUUUGGAUACAUGGAGGCUAAUCCAGUAUGUAGACAAUCCAGUAAUUGAUGGGUUUAGCACUAUCCAAAAUGUGUAAUGGGCACUUUGUGUGUGUGUGUGUGUGUGUGUGUGUGUGUGUGUGUGUGUGUGUAUGUACCUUUGGACCUUUGCCUGGGGUUUCUCCAGGGGCAGUUUAAAUGUGCUCAUCAUAUGAAUGUACCCAAGACCCACAGCAUAAACAGACGAACUGCAUCCUAGUGUCCCAGUGUAUGUGUUCUGGGGACCAGCAGACCAUCAGUCUCUUCUCAUGUGUGUGUCUGGAUUUCUCAGCUGACCGCUGUUCACAUACUCUCGAGAUGGCACUUCUGGGGUUGUCUUGCGUACACUCUUACAACAGUAACUAAUUUCACACACUUUGUACGGCCUCUACACAUCUAAGCUUCAGUCACAGCCACGUGCUUGUCCGUCACUCUCAGCCCUAAGUCAAGGGUCCUGGGUUUACAUCCUGCCUGCUUACCCACUAGAUUGUACAACCUUGGAUAAGUUCCUUUACCUCCGUGCCUCUCAGUUUCCUGGGUACGAGGUAGAAGCCAUCAUGGCUGCUUUACACGCCAGCACAGGACUGGCCCAUGAGAUGCUUCACAAGUUGUGGCUGUGACUCCCUAGACAAAGCCUUGCACGUAGAAGACGAGUACAGUUGUGUGUGCAAGGCAGGAUUCAUCUGGGUGUGGAAGAAGAGUUAGAUGUCGGCUCUUGUGAAAUUUUCUGGUGCAAACAGACUUUCCUGUCUUGGGCUUAGAUUAUAAUUUAUAAGCCAAUCUCUCUUCAGUCUUACUGAUUUUAAGGGGCACAUUAAUUUGUAUGGCUGUCUCAUGUAUAAAAUACUGUUUUGAAGUAUGGCCACACUGUGGAAUGGAUGAAUCAAGCUAACUAACAAAUGCAUUCGUUAUCAUUCUGUGAUAAUAACACGUGUGCUUUCUUGUCAGUUUUCAGGAAUGUUCCAUAUUGUCACUAACUACUCACUGUACGGCGGCUCUCAGAUGAACUGUUUAUUUAAUAGCUAUGGGUUCUUUGACCACCAUCUUCCAAUCUCUUCUGCCAUCUAGCCAUCCCAUCCGCAUUUUCUUUUCUGUGCCUAUGAAAUCUACGCUAGACUGUACAUGUGAGUGAACUACUGCAAUCGUGCCUCUCCGUGCCUGGCUGAUUUGACUUGUACAACUUCCCAUGUGACCAUCUAUGUAGUUACAAAUAGCAGGGUUUGUGCGUUUUAUGCUCUAUUGUAUUCUACUGUGUGCAUAUCCUGUACUUCCUCUAUCUAUUAUAGAGAAUUAGCUACUGAGCAUUGUGCUGCAGCAGUAAGUACAGGGAUACAAACAUACUGUAUUUAUUUCCUUUGGAAACACACCCAGCAGUGGGGUUUCAUUUUUUACUUUUUAGAGAAUUCUCAAUGGCUCCUUUUCUCUGCAGCCUCACCAACACAUACUAAGUUUCACCCUUCUAAUAACAGCAAUCCUGAUGGGUUUUUUAUAAUUUUUUGAGACAGGCUCUCACUAUGUAGCCCUGGCUAGCAUAGGUAGACUUCCUUAUGUAGACCAAGCUGGUUUCAAAUUCACAUAGAUCUAUCUGCCUGCCUCUGCUUCUGGAGUGCUGAGGUUAAGGGUCAUAGCUGCUCUCUUACUAUUUUUUACAUUUGGUCCUUAGUAAAUGUAGAACUUGCAGACAUGUUCCCACAUCUCUUUGUACUCUGUAAUUCCUUUGUAAUUCCUUAAUCCCUAAGUAGAACCUGUCUUUAUUAUGAUACAUGCCCCUUGGUCUAGUUUUGCUUUUGUUCCUUCAUACCCCAAAUGAGGCAGUAUAUCCAGUAUCCAAAACCAUCAUAGUCCAGACCAACACAAUGGAAUUCUGUGCACACUCCCAUGCAUUCUCUGUAGUUCGAGAUCCCAUGUUUGAGUCUUUCUUUCAUACACUUUGAGUGAAUAUUUGUAUCUGGUGAGAGACACAGAUCUGUUUUCAUGCUGUGAAGUCGUACAGUUUUCCCAGUAGCACUUACAGAAGUGAUUUUCUUUCUCUGCUGUGUGUUUUUAGCACCUUUGUCAGAUCAGCUGUCUGUAAAUGUAUGGGUUUAUUUCUGGGCUCUCUGUUCCAUUCUCCUGGUCUGGCUCUGUGUGAUGCCAUGACAGUGCUGCUUAUGGGCUAAUGCAGUUUAUGUUAUGUUUGUAAAGGGGGUAAGACAAUGCUUCUUGCUUUAUUUUUCUUGUAGAUUUCUUUGGUUCUUCGGGAUCUUUUGUGGUUCCAUACUGUUGAUAGAACUCUCUCCCAGGGAGAGACAUAAAGCAUUGUGUAGUCCUCCUCUCAGAGUCCUAAUGACCAACGGAAACGUGACCCACCUAAAGCUCCCUCUAGAGAGCCAUGAGUUUACAGCUUCCUUACAGAGUAUAAGUGAGAGGUCACUUACAGGGUACGGGACUCCUUCCCCAACUAGCUGUACCUGAUAACCCUUACCCAGCAGUGGUGUGGGCUUCCUGUAGCCCUAUCUAGUAUUUCUUGACUGAUACAUAAUAAGUAUAUAUACGUAUAGUCAGAGAUAUAGAGAAUAUAGAAUCUUUCUACAUAUACUAUAUAUACAUACUCUUUCUAUUUCCAUAUAUACUAUAUCUCUGAAUGAUACACACACACACACACUAACCCCUCCCCUAACCCACAUGCAGAGUCCCCAGAUGGGAGGAAGCAGUUGGAUGUAGCUGCAUACUCCAGCAAGAAUCGCCUUGCUAUGCUGGGGCAUAAACCACCAACAAGCUUAGCUGAGAUGAAAUAUUGCAGGGGAACACAGCUGAAUGCCCCAAGAUGGGGCAGUUGCUUGACAUAGAAGACAGUCACUCACAACACAUUCC
RNAcentral lists this long non-coding RNA (3148 nucleotides) under Mus musculus (house mouse). RNAcentral's name for it is "long non-coding RNA chr4:32554249-32557397". Lineage: Eukaryota; Metazoa; Chordata; Mammalia; Rodentia; Muridae. The record is from RNAcentral.